CCUACGGGUGGCAGCAGUGAGGAAUAUUGGUCAAUGGCCGGAAGGCUGAACCAGCCAAGCCGCGUGAAGGACGAAGGUGCCAAGCAUUGUAAACUUCUUUUGUCAAGGGACAAAAUCAGGCUCGAGAGCCUGACCGAGUGUACUUGAAGAAAAAGCAUCGGCUAACUCCGUGCCAGCAGCCGCGGUAAUACGGCGGAUGCGAGCUGUAUCCGGAUUUAUUGGGUUUAAAGGGUUCGUAGGCGGGCUGUUAAGUCAGCGGUAAAAUCCAGGGGCUCAACACCGGCGAGCCGUUGAAACUGGCUGUCUUGAGAUGUCGAGAGGUAUGCGGAAUGCGCAGUGUAGCGGGGAAAUGCUUAGAUAUUGCGCAGAACUCCGAUUGCGAAGGCAGCAUACCGGCGGCGAUCUGACGCUGAUGCUCGAAAGUGUGGGUAUCAAACAGGAUUAGAUACCCCUGUAGUC
This 459-nucleotide ribosomal RNA is filed under the name uncultured bacterium. Its description in RNAcentral is "partial 16S ribosomal RNA". It matches the Rfam family "Bacterial small subunit ribosomal RNA", at positions 338 to 795 of the family's 1533-position model. The record is from RNAcentral.